RNAcentral lists this ribosomal RNA (301 nucleotides) under uncultured bacterium. Its description in RNAcentral is "partial 16S ribosomal RNA". It matches the Rfam family "Bacterial small subunit ribosomal RNA", at positions 509 to 807 of the family's 1533-position model. The record is from RNAcentral.
CAGUAGCCACGGUAAUACGAGGGGGGCAAGCGUUGUUCGGAUUUAUUGGGCGUAAAGGGUGCGUAGGCGGUUUGGCAAGUCAGAUGUGAAAGCCCUGGGCUCAACCUAGGAAUUGCAUUUGAUACUGUUUGGCUUGAGUUCGGGAGAGGUGAGUGGAAUUCCCAGUGUAGAGGUGAAAUUCGUAGAUAUUGGGAAGAACACCAGUGGCGAAGGCGGCUCACUGGACCGACACUGACGCUGAGGCGCGAAAGCGUGGGGAGCAAACAGGAUUAGAUACCCCCGUAGUCCCUGUCUCUUAUAC